This is a small nuclear RNA of Rattus norvegicus (Norway rat), 93 nucleotides long. Ensembl annotates it as U5 spliceosomal RNA. The record is from Ensembl. Lineage: Eukaryota; Metazoa; Chordata; Mammalia; Rodentia; Muridae.
AUACGCUGGUUUCUAUUCAGAUUAUAUAAAUCUUUCACCUUUUAUUAAAGAUUUCCAUGGAGAGGAACAAUUCUGAGUCUUAAAAAUGGAAAU